CGCCUCUUCCCAGCAGGGACAUGGAACACCACCACCAGCACCACUCAAAAGGGUCCAAUAAGGCCAAUCGAUCGAAAUCAAUCGAAAUGGGGCAUUCAGAGAGCAGUCCCAAUAUGCACAGGAGUGCCUCCU
RNAcentral lists this non-coding RNA (132 nucleotides) under uncultured Chlorophyceae. Lineage: Eukaryota; Viridiplantae; Chlorophyta; Chlorophyceae. The record is from RNAcentral.